CCAGCCUGUUUUCUGAGAAAUCAACUAUUUUCCACUUUCAGAUGUUGAAACAGCUCAGCUCAGUAAACCUUCACAGAAGGUCAGAGCUGGUGUUGGUGAGAAGACAAACUGGAGCUUGAAACUGUGCAGAGGAGUAGAGAGCAACAGCAGAGGAGAGGAUGUGGUCACAGAGCAGCCUGCAGAUCGUUCUCUGUGCUGAGAAAUGAUGGAGGUGCAACCUUCCACUUAACCACAACCUCCGGCUCAACCAAUGCACCUGCAUCUCUGCACCAACCCACAACCACACUGCACAUCUCUGAGCUGGGAAAGCUGCUAUAUCUGUGUCAACUGAAGCAACAGAAUGAACUUAAAUAUGUGUUGUAUUACAAACAACAGCUGUUGAGAUCUGGUGCAGAAAUUUGCACUUUAAGGUUUAUGUUGCAGGUUCAGGACAGAUGUAAAAUGAAUUUCACUACAAUCAGAAAGAUUCAAACAUUAUCAGGCAGACUUAAGACACCUAUCAACAGUUCAUUUAAAGAGUCUGUAAGAGAGUGUGUAUAGUGCUAUCAUUUCUAUGUGAACCACUAUGAGACACUAUUCUGUAUGUGACUAUAAACACAAUCUGGCCAUAUACCAAAUACUGUCCAAACAGUCUCUCAUCAAACUGUGCAAUUAUUUUUUACCAGUAGAGACUCCGGUGGGACUCAAACUGAAGAAGACCACGUUCUCCUUUCUCCAUUUGUUUCCUUGAAAAACAUGUUUGUACCAACUGGAGCCACAUAAACAGGAAACAGUGUGAGUCAGUAACAGAAGUUUGGUGUAUUUUGAUAAUUAUAUCUCCUCCUGCAAACUCUUUAGAUGAGAUUAUAAGCUGUUGUUUUCAAUUUUGUGAAUAAAGCUCAUGUGGUUAUUUAACA
Long non-coding RNA from Lates calcarifer (barramundi perch), 896 nucleotides. RefSeq lists it as uncharacterized. NCBI's taxonomy places the organism in Eukaryota, Metazoa, Chordata, Actinopteri, Centropomidae. The transcript has 2 exons. The record is from RefSeq and is a predicted model, not a curated record.